GAUGAAGAACGUAGCGAAAUGCGAUAAGUAAUGUGAAUUGCAGAAUUCAGUGAAUCAUCGAAUCUUUGAACGCACAUUGCGCCCGCCAGUAUUCUGGCGGGCAUGCCUGUUCGAGCGUCAUUACAAUCCUCAGGCCCCCGGGCCUGGCGUUGGGGAUCGGCGGAAGCCCCCUGCGGGCACAACGCCGUCCCCCAAAUACAGUGGCGGUCCCGCCGCAGCUUCCAUUGCGUAGUAGCUAACACCUCGCAACUGGAGAGCGGCGCGGCCACGCCGUAAAACACCCAACUUCUGAAUGUUGACCUCGAAUCAGGUAGGAAUACCCGCUGAACUUAAGCAUAUCAAUAAGCGGAGGA
RNAcentral lists this unclassified non-coding RNA (353 nucleotides) under soil metagenome. RNAcentral's name for it is "partial contains 5.8S ribosomal RNA, internal transcribed spacer 2, and large subunit ribosomal RNA". The stretch from base 1 to 120 matches the Rfam family "5.8S ribosomal RNA", at positions 35 to 154 of the family's 154-position model. The record is from RNAcentral.